UACGUAGGGGGCGAGCGUUGUCCGGAAUUACUGGGCGUAAAGGGUGCGUAGGCGGCGCUUUAAGUUGGAUGUGAAAUACCCGGGCUUAACCUGGGGGGUGCAUUCAAAACUGGGGUGCUGGAGUGCAGAAGAGGGAAGCGGAAUUCCUAGUGUAGCGGUGAAAUGCGUAGAUAUUAGGAGGAACACCAGUGGCGAAGGCGGCUUUCUGGUCUGUAACUGACGCUGAAGCACGAAAGCGUGGGGAGCAAACAGG
RNAcentral lists this ribosomal RNA (253 nucleotides) under uncultured bacterium. Its description in RNAcentral is "partial 16S ribosomal RNA". It matches the Rfam family "Bacterial small subunit ribosomal RNA", at positions 524 to 776 of the family's 1533-position model. RNAcentral also lists the same sequence under 1 other name. The record is from RNAcentral.